Molecule: ribosomal RNA, 468 nt
Filed under: uncultured bacterium
Lineage: Bacteria
Description: partial 16S ribosomal RNA
Rfam family: Bacterial small subunit ribosomal RNA
Source: RNAcentral
GACGAACGCUGGCGGCGUGCUUAACACAUGCAAGUCGAACGGAAAGGCCCUGCUUUUGUGGGGUGCUCGAGUGGCGAACGGGUGAGUAACACGUGAGUAACCUGCCCUUGACUUUGGGAUAACUUCAGGAAACUGGGGCUAAUACCGGAUAGGAGCUCCUGCUGCAUGGUGGGGGUUGGAAAGUUUCGGCGGUUGGGGAUGGACUCGCGGCUUAUCAGCUUGUUGGUGGGGUAGUGGCUUACCAAGGCUUUGACGGGUAGCCGGCCUGAGAGGGUGACCGGCCACAUUGGGACUGAGAUACGGCCCAGACUCCUACGGGAGGCAGCAGUGGGGAAUAUUGCACAAUGGGCGGAAGCCUGAUGCAGCAACGUCGCGUGCGGGAUGACGGCCUUCGGGCUGUAAACCGCUUUCGCCUGUGACGAAGCGUGAGUGACGGUAAUGGGUAAAGAAGCACCGGCUAACUACGUG